UCUUCUUCUUCUUCUUCUUCUUCUUCUUUUUCUUCUUCUUCUUCUUCAGUUUCCCGAGCAUUGUAGCUCCAGCCCACCUUCCCUCUCCCUUGUUCUCCUUUGUUGCAGAUCACCCGCCACAGCCAUCCUCUGCUCCAACCGAGCACUCCCUUCGCACCACAGUACCAGCAGCAGCUCUCUGCUGCAACAGCAGGCCCUGACUACCAUCAACCUUCUCCAGCCUUUGCAACACCAGCCGCCCAAGAGCAGCUCUCCAGCCAGCAAACAACCAGCACCAGCUGAACACGACAAAGCCCACGGCCACCACUUCCUUUGCAUCUCCAGCCAAGGCCGCAAUCAGCAACUCCAACCGAGCACUCCCUUCGCAGCACGCCAGUAGAACAGAGCAGCAGACCCUGCUGCUGCUGAAACCUCCUCCAGCCACCUUGUUCCCUGCACAACACAACUCACUGUCCACAGCAUCCCUGCCAGAUGAAAGAGAAUUUCUUGUCAACAUUUUUGAUGAAUACAUGUACCCUGGAAAGUUGUGUGUUUUCAUGAUGAUUUGCUUAUGUGAAGUUAGUUAUACCCUGUUUUUUUUUAUAUGCUACUAACACACUGUCAUUGUUUGUGGUUUGAUGAGGACGUUGUUUUGAUGCCGAGUGUUCGUGAUUGAUCUUCGGAAAUCUUGUGCUAAUUUCUGAGAUCCGGCGGUACCCCCUCUUAUAUACAACCCUAUGAGCAAGAAAAGCUAUCUCAGUUAGAAUUGUUAGUUGUUGAUGAAGCAGCAGCCAUUCCAUUGCCUGUUGUGAAGUCCUUGCUUGGUCCUUAGCUGGUUUCCCUUUCAUCCACUGUCAAUGGAUAUGAAGGCACGGAGCGUUCUUUAUCAUUAAAACUUCUGCAACAACUAGAAGAGCAAAGCCAUAAGCCAGCUAAGAAUGCGGAGAGCUCUGUCUCUGGAUUCCAAUUUGCUUUCCGAGGGCAUGUAACAUUCCAUCUCUGAUAUCUCUGCACUGCUUCCACCAUAAUGGAGCAACAAGAAAUUCUUUUGCAGCUGCUUCUAACACCUUGUUGCUUCCGCAGAUGGUAUUUAAUUCUUUGUUGUGUUUAUUCUUUUGCCUUCUGGUGUGCUUGUUAUCUUUAAGUUAAAAAUUCAGUACAAAACCCAACAAA
Molecule: long non-coding RNA, 1152 nt
Organism: Malania oleifera
Lineage: Eukaryota; Viridiplantae; Streptophyta; Magnoliopsida; Santalales; Ximeniaceae
Exons: 4
Source: RefSeq, a predicted model, not a curated record